UGGGGAAUUUUGCACAAUGGGCGAAAGCCUGAUGCAGCAACGCCGCGUGUGUGAUGAAGGUCUUCGGAUCGUAAAGCACUUUCGACCGGGACGAACACCUUUUGGCUAACAUCCAAGAGCCUGACGGUACCGGGAGAAGAAGCACCGGCUAACUCUGUGCCAGCAGCCGCGGUAAUACAGAGGGUGCAAGCGUUGUUCGGAAUUAUUGGGCGUAAAGCGCGUGUAGGCGGCUUUGCAAGUCGGGUGUGAAAGCCCUCAGCUUAACUGAGGAAGUGCGCCCGAAACUGCUUGGCUUGAGUACCGGAGAGGAUGGCGGAAUUCCCCAAGUAGAGGUGAAAUUCGUAGAUAUGGGGAGGAACACCGGUGGCGAAGGCGGCCAUCUGGACGGAUACUGACGCUGAGACGCGAAAGCGUGGGUAGCAAACAGGAUUAGAUACCCCCGUAGUCC
This 448-nucleotide ribosomal RNA is filed under the name uncultured bacterium. Its description in RNAcentral is "bacterial SSU rRNA". It matches the Rfam family "Bacterial small subunit ribosomal RNA", at positions 355 to 796 of the family's 1533-position model. The record is from RNAcentral.